RNAcentral lists this ribosomal RNA (234 nucleotides) under uncultured Candidatus Saccharibacteria bacterium. Its description in RNAcentral is "partial 16S ribosomal RNA". It matches the Rfam family "Bacterial small subunit ribosomal RNA", at positions 584 to 818 of the family's 1533-position model. Lineage: Bacteria; Candidatus Saccharimonadota. The record is from RNAcentral.
UAAGUUAAUAGUGAAAGCGUGUGGCUCAACCACAUAUACAUUAUUAAACUGCUCGGCUAGAAGAUGGGAGAGGUAGCUGGAAUUCCUAGUGUAGGAGUGAAAUCCGUAGAUAUUAGGAGGAACACCGAUGGCGUAGGCAGGCUACUGGCCCAUUCUUGACACUAAGGCACGAAAGCGUGGGGAGCGAACGGGAUUAGAUACCCCGGUAGUCCACGCCGUAAACGAUGGAUGCUA